UUUUAAUAUGGAGGAACGUUACAAUCUGGCCUGGCCUAACCUGAUCUUAGCUGAUUUGAUGAAAACAAACCAAACUAGACUCGAUUCGACUGGAGUAGAUCGGAUUCGAUCGCAUCAUUAGGUUAGGGACGCGCGCUUUAGUUCUGUUUGCUACGCUCUGCGUCGGACUAUGAACUUUUCCGAGGUGCAAAUGGACGACAUAAUCACGUCGAGUAUUACGUCGCCGCAGUUCUUAGAAUUACCCUUCCGAGCGAAUUCGAACGUCACUACUUUCGCGGAGCAUAAUAGUGGCGGGAACAUGCAGUCUCAGGAAGCUCAAACUUCUAUUUCAGCGAUAGCUGAUUUGAAAACGGAAUCGUAUCCUCAACACCAGCAACAUUUGUCGUAUAAUAUGGCAAAUACUAUGAGUGAUUAUCUUCACAAGUGGCAUACUUCGACUUUACCUUUAAUAACACUGCAAUUCGUGAAACAACAAGUAGAGCAAUUGAAGAAAGAGAAAGUAGGAGAGGAGAAAGUGGAGCAUGUGCAGAAUAAUAUUCUGAAUAUACCCAGUGUGCCAGUAUUCCGAAGUUCUCAAGUGCAAAAUAGCAGCAAUUUUACAAACACAGAUCCAAUGUUAAUGUCUGUUAAUCCAUUUGAUCUGAAUGUACAUUUAGAGAGCGAACAAGAGAAUGAGAGCAACUCACAGCCAGUUGUGAAGGUGGAACAACAAGUGCAAACUGAUUCGCCGAAGAUCGAGAAGAAGCCGAGGUUUCGAGCAAAAAUUGGUGAAAUCAAGAUCAGUGUUGAUUCACGUGGAUCGACAUAUUACUGUUGUCCAGAAUGUAACAUAGGCUAUACAGACAAGGCAGAUAUUGAUAAACAUAUACAAGCACACAUACAGGAGCGAAAGUACGAGUGUAAAGAGUGUGGUGCUCUGUUAAAGAGAAAAGAGCAUCUGGAUCAACAUAUGCGCGGUCAUUCAGAUGAGCGGCCUUUCAAGUGCAAAGUGUGUGAAAAGGCCUUUAAAAGAAACGAACACCUAACGAGGCACUUCGUCAUCCAUUCCGGAGAUAAGAACUUCUUAUGCACGGUGUGUAAUAAAGCAUUCUCACGCAAGGAUCAUUUGAACAAGCACACGCAAACGCAUUCGGGCAUGCGAAAAAACAAGAUGAAGAACAAUACCUUUUACAUCGAUCAGAAGGAUCCGUUUGAUAAGAGUACUGAUGUUUCGACAACGGUGCCCAGACAAGAGGCCAAGUAUGUCUUAAAGGAUAGCAUGCCGAAGGAAAGCAUUCUUUCUCAGAUACCGGAGAGCGUUCUUCUUCAAAAUAUUCAAAAUCUCGCGAGGGAUCCGAACUUAUUGCACACAUUGUCUUCGCUCAAAGAACAGAUGAUGAGGGAGAGCAGUGUGAUGCAGCAAGAUGACAUUAAUACAGACGAGAUCUUGCCCGAUAACGUAAGAUACAUAAUGCAGUCUUAGCCGUAAGCGAAGUCUAAAGCAAUAGAAGCAAAUUAGUUAUUGCACGGGUAGAGGAAGCCUUUCGACAGUUUCUGACCGUUUACAUGCAAUAGGAAAAAUUGAAAAGGAAGGAAAAUGAGUGCCACAUGAACUGAUUAUGAACUGAAACAACCAUGCUGAACCGUGUAUCGCCACUGCUCUGGUUGCCAGGCAGAAAAAGAGAAUUUUUUCUUUGACCAGACUGUCACUGAUGAUGAAAAGUGGAUCCAUUAUGAUAAUUCUAAAUUAAAAGUUAUGGAUAGACCCAGGCCACAUCGGCGCCAAAAUGCAAUAUUUAUGGUCAUAAGACAUUGCUCUGUAUGUGAGAUCAAGAAAAUGUUGUAUAUUAUGAGCUUUUAAAACCGAAUAAAACUGUUACGGCUAACGGGUA
This 1871-nucleotide unclassified non-coding RNA is filed under the name Harpegnathos saltator (Jerdon's jumping ant). Its description in RNAcentral is "zinc finger protein 568-like, transcript variant X2". Lineage: Eukaryota; Metazoa; Arthropoda; Insecta; Hymenoptera; Formicidae. The record is from RNAcentral.